GCAUGUUGACAUUGUGAGAUAAAUGUGCAUGAAACUAGGUUGAUAACCCUAGAAUGAUUAAAGUGAAUGAUGCUAUGCUAAAGUAUAAGUGAUAAGCAUGAUAUAAGAAUAGUAAAUGCAAGUGCAUGUUAAGAAUGCUAAGUAAGGAACAUAUAUAGGUGGACAUGAAUAAACCUAUAGAUCGAGUGGCAUUAAACCUAGUGUCGAGGACAUAGGUUAAAUAAAUGAGAUGUUGAACCUAAUGUAAAGAACAUAGGUUAAAUAAGAGUGAUGUUAAACCUAAUGUAAAGAACAUAGGUUGUGAAAUGAAAGCUGCUUAACCUAGAGUUAAGUGAACCUAGGUUGGAAAAGAAUGAUGAUCCUAGUGUAAUAAACCUAGGUUAAGAAUGUGAAAGCAAUAAACCUAAAGUAAUAACUUAGGUUGUGUAAAGGAUGUUGAACCUAGAGUCAAUUGGACCUAGGAGAUAAAUGCUUAGACCUAGAGAGGUCAGUUCCAUAGGGUUAAGACCAACCCUUGGUUGAUGUGAUAUGGAUUCCGGAAUCCCGCUGCUUGCUGCUACACCCAAAGUGGUGUCGGGUGUGUGCGACGAUUUCGCCGCCCAGGGGCUAGAGAACCAUUGUCGUGGCGUGUGUGCGACGAUUUCGCCGCCGGAUGGUUAGCCAGUUUGUGGAUCCUACCGCCUGUUGACUGAACCACUGUCGUGGCGUGUGUGCGACGAUUUCGCCGCCGGGUGACUAAGUCAUUGAACCUAGGCCGUUGUUGGGUGAGGUGCGAUUCGUUCGCCGCCAGACGGCUAGGACAGGAGUACGGUGAGCUGUUGCCAGCUGAGGUGCAUGUGAGAGUUCCUUCACCUCGAGCUAGACAGUGCGCGGACUAUCCGCGAUUGAUUGACUCAAGACCGAGUCGGGUGGCUUUGUUGACUAAGGUAAAGUGACCUUAGAGUAGAAUGCCAAAGGCUAAGAGAUAGCAUGGUUCAAGAAUGUUAAGAGUAAAGAACAGCUAAACGAUAAUGAAUAGCUAAAGAGUAAAGAAUGGCUAAAGAACAAUGAAUAGAUAAUGAAAGGAAUAGCUAAGAGCUAAAAGUAAGCAUUAAAUGGCAAGGAGUAAAGAAUGAUUAAGAACAUAAGUAGUGUUAAAGUAACCUACUUGCAUGAUUACAGGUAUUGCAUAUUGCAUUUCGUGAGGCAUGACAUGUAUUUCAAUUGAAUAUAUAUCUGUUGUAUAUUGUUGAUCUAACAUGUUGCAGUGCCUCGUUAGACCUGUUGGCUGAGCUUGUUCUCUUGGGUGGCUAAACCCACUGAGGACUAUGGACAAUAGUCUCACCCCCGUGUUGCUGUUUUGGGGGUACAGGUACACACGUGUGCGGCGCGGCGGCGCAAGGCGAGGACGUAGUUCUGCAGAUAGCGUCCUACCCAGAGACUGAGAUAGCAGUACCCGAGUUGGUG
This 1446-nucleotide long non-coding RNA is filed under the name Ananas comosus (pineapple). RNAcentral describes it as "long non-coding RNA (ACOM_LNC038067)". Lineage: Eukaryota; Viridiplantae; Streptophyta; Magnoliopsida; Poales; Bromeliaceae. The record is from RNAcentral.